UACGUAGGGUGCAAGCGUUAAUCGGAAUUACUGGGCGUAAAGGGCGCGUAGGCGGCCUGUUAAGUCGAACGUGAAAUCCCCGGGCUCAACCCGGGAACUGCGUCCGAUACUGGCAGGCUUGAAUUCGGGAGAGGGAUGUGGAAUUCCAGGUGUAGCGGUGAAAUGCGUAGAUAUCUGGAGGAACACCGGUGGCGAAGGCGGCAUCCUGGACCGAUAUUGACGCUGAUGCGCGAAAGCCAGGGGAGCAAACGGG
This 253-nucleotide ribosomal RNA is filed under the name uncultured bacterium. RNAcentral describes it as "partial 16S ribosomal RNA". It matches the Rfam family "Bacterial small subunit ribosomal RNA", at positions 524 to 776 of the family's 1533-position model. The record is from RNAcentral.